GUCACAAAUGGCUUGCGACGACCUGAGGAAACUGGAGCUGCUGUCAAGAAUAAAAGAAGCAGCAAUGCAACUGGGAGCUAACUGAACACAUCGGCACUGCUUGAAAACUCCCUGCAAUUUUCACGAAUAUUGGCAGCCUGCAUUUCAUUUUGAAAACAUAGUAAACUAUGACGUAGAUUAAAGUGAACCUGCUUGAAAAUUCAUAUUGUUUCUUUUUAAAUAGAGGCCUGAAAAUGUUACACUUGUUGUUUAAUCUCACAAAAUGAAAGCUGGCAAAUUUGCCUUAAAAUUUGUAGUGUGCAUAGUAGUGUGGUAGAAAAAGACG
Bombina bombina (fire-bellied toad) is the source of this 325-nucleotide long non-coding RNA. RefSeq lists it as uncharacterized. The transcript has 3 exons. NCBI's taxonomy places the organism in Eukaryota, Metazoa, Chordata, Amphibia, Anura, Bombinatoridae. The record is from RefSeq and is a predicted model, not a curated record.